UGCCUGUGCUUUAACUUUUCGUCUGUUUCUCGAAAAUUUUUAUGCGAUGUUUAAGUUCUGAUAGCCUCGAAAACUUCCAUCACUCAGAGGUCACUCCAGCACCUUCCGAGCCUUUUAUAUUGUUACGUUCUUUGUAACUUUUGUUUAUUGUCGCAAAAAGGAUAUCUGUCGUUCGUGUGCCUCUUUGUUGCGUUUUCUUUAUUAUGGGUGUUUGGCUGUGCUACUGUUUCGUGGAGCUCUAUUUGCAAGGUGGUUUAGUUUUUAACAUGCUAAAUUUCUUGUUUUUUUAAUACUUUCGGUGUUUAAUAAAGAACUCUAUUUCGUGGUAAGCUUCGUCUAAUGACAUUUUUCCGGAUUGCUCUUUCGAUUUUGUUUGCAUAAAGGGAUUAUGGUAGAGGAUCAUGAACCUGAGUGGCUUGUAGAUUUGCAUUGGUCCUUCACGAAUUUUAAAAAAAAAUGUCUGUUGACAAUCUUUGUGUAAGAGCCUAUUUUUUAUAAAAAUUGUGUUAUUUACGGCCUCGUCCUAGUACUUCUUUUCGAGCCCUGCUACUUUGGCUCUAGCUCACUUGGCUCGCUUUCGCUUCUGUGUUAUUUCAGUCUAUAGUACUAGUACUGUUUUCUAGUAUCUACCUGACUGAUCUAGCUUGUCUAUGGUAUGGGUACUCUUUUCUGGUACCUGUGCCUAAAAUACUAGCGUGGUUACUAUACUAUGGUAGAUACUAGGUACUAGUACUAUAUAUAUAAGCGCGCGCGCCCUUUGUUUUAGAAUACACUUUCUCAUGUUGGAAAGUCUUAGUAUUGCUUGUCGGCUGAACAUAUUUUUGCGUGUAGUAUAUAUUUGAAUUUUUAUGUUUAACAUACCAUUUAAACGCCCCCAACAGGUAAAUUCAAUUACAUUGUCCACCCUGAAUGAAGACAGUAUGGAUGUUAUUUUUUUUUGUUCUUUAGUUCUCUUUUGGUUUAGGAGGGAAUAAGGGUUAAGCUUUAAAGAUGUGCUAUGCAUGUUAACUGGAGUAUAUCAGUGACAAAUAUUUAAAUAAAUAAGAAAAUUGUUUAAAUAGUCUUCCACUCUAUAAAUAGCUACUUGGUCUAUACUUUUGUUUUUAAAAAUAUAUAUAAAUACCUUCAAUGUUUUAGCAUUAGUAUUAGAUCCCUUGUAUUGCCGGCAAUGUAAAGUACUUCGUCCUUCCUGAGGACUCAAAGCGCUCUGUCAUCACCACCGCACACUGCUACGGACCUAUUUGCGCUGCAAGCGGGGGUUACCAUACUCUUUUCUGGUACGAACAUAGGAAGGCACUCGCUACAAUGACGUAUAACCGCGAAAUGUGGGAUAAAAUUUCAACAUCAGGUGCACUACUAACCAGAAGUUUAUUAUAUUUAUAGUCUAGUAUUAUUGUAAAUCUUUUGCAUCUCUAAGAACUAGUCAUUAAAGGUGGAUUACAUAUAAAGAUUUCGUAAAGAAAGUAAUUAACAAAAGCCAAUACUUUCGGAG
This is a long non-coding RNA of Zophobas morio, 1492 nucleotides long. RefSeq lists it as uncharacterized. Lineage: Eukaryota; Metazoa; Arthropoda; Insecta; Coleoptera; Tenebrionidae. The record is from RefSeq and is a predicted model, not a curated record. The transcript is spliced from 3 exons.